Carica papaya (papaya) is the source of this 636-nucleotide non-coding RNA. The record is from RefSeq and is a predicted model, not a curated record. NCBI's taxonomy places the organism in Eukaryota, Viridiplantae, Streptophyta, Magnoliopsida, Brassicales, Caricaceae.
GAUCUGCAGAUGGAGCAACACUGUCCAUUGGACAGAUUCUAUGGAUGAUGUACUAGUAGAUGCUUUUUACAAUUAACAUUUGUUGGGAUAUUCACCACACAAGCUAUUGAUUAUAUCAUAACAGAACUAAGGAAUGCAUUUUCAAACAGGACCCUUGAUAAAGAGCGAAUCGACAAUUACAUUAAAAAUUUAAAAAGAUAAUUCUCCAAAUAAUAUGAAAUUUUCAAACAUGGAUUAAGUGGUUUUGCUUAAAAUCUGACAACUAAAAGAUUUGCGGAAAAGGAGGUAUGGCAGCAACUAAUAGAGGUUCAACCCGAAGCAGUUGAAUUGAAGAACAAACGUGUACAAAAUUACGAUAAAAUGUUGAAAAUGUAUAGAAGGGAUAGAGUUGAUGGGGCUGGUUGUGAAACAGCACGUACCGAUCAAGGAUAACUGAAGAUGAGUGACAAUGAACAUGAAAUGAGCACUAAGGAGAUUGACCAACAACUUAUCCAAAAUUUAGGUGGCAAUUUCAAUUUUAAGGGUGUGGAUACAAUGAAUGAUGCUUUAACGCCCAAAAUGCCUACUUCACAACCCCAACAUGAAUCACAAAGUUCUUACAGGCAUAAGAAAUCAAAAUGUUUGUCUACUAUCCCA